GCCGGAAUAGCUCAGUUGGGAGAGCGUCAGACUGAAGAUCUGAAGGUCCCUGGUUCAAUCCCGGUUCCGGCA
Molecule: transfer RNA, 72 nt
Filed under: Patiria miniata (bat star)
Lineage: Eukaryota; Metazoa; Echinodermata; Asteroidea; Valvatida; Asterinidae
Description: tRNA-Phe
Rfam family: tRNA
About the family: Transfer RNA (tRNA) molecules are approximately 80 nucleotides in length. Their secondary structure includes four short double-helical elements and three loops (D, anti-codon, and T loops). Further hydrogen bonds mediate the characteristic L-shaped molecular structure. tRNAs have two regions of fundamental functional importance: the anti-codon, which is responsible for specific mRNA codon recognition, and the 3' end, to which the tRNAs corresponding amino acid is attached (by aminoacyl-tRNA synthetases). tRNAs cope with the degeneracy of the genetic code in two manners: having more than one tRNA (with a specific anti-codon) for a particular amino acid; and 'wobble' base-pairing, i.e. permitting non-standard base-pairing at the 3rd anti-codon position.
Source: Rfam by way of RNAcentral